RNAcentral lists this long non-coding RNA (395 nucleotides) under Homo sapiens (human). Lineage: Eukaryota; Metazoa; Chordata; Mammalia; Primates; Hominidae. The record is from RNAcentral.
ACCUCCACCACCACCUGUUGGACAUCUCAGAGGUUCUCAGAACUUGGCCUGUUCAGAACUGCACACAUGCUGUUCCAGGAGGAAUCAUGUCCCUGAGAAAUCUACACGUUGAAGUCUGUCAUCACCAGAACCUCAGAAUGUGGCUGUGCGUGGAGACAGGGUGUUCAAUGGGGUCAUUAGGAGAUUAGGACACAGACACACACAGAGGGAUGCCCACGUGAAGACAUAAGGAGGAGGAGGCAUCUACAGGUCAAGGCGGGGGACCUCUGAAGAAACCAGCCCUGCCGACACCUUUGUCUCGGACUUCCAGCCUCCAGAACUAUGAGGAAAGAAGCCCAGGAUCUAAGCUGGGCGCAGUGGCUCACGUCUGUAAUCCCAACACUUCGGGAGGCCGA